This 301-nucleotide ribosomal RNA is filed under the name uncultured bacterium. RNAcentral's name for it is "partial 16S ribosomal RNA". It matches the Rfam family "Bacterial small subunit ribosomal RNA", at positions 509 to 809 of the family's 1533-position model. The record is from RNAcentral.
CAGUAGCCGCGGUAAUACAGAGGGUGCAAGCGUUAAUCGGAAUUACUGGGCGUAAAGCGCGCGUAGGUGGUUUGUUAAGUUGGAUGUGAAAUCCCCGGGCUCAACCUGGGAACUGCAUCCAAAACUGGCAAGCUAGAGUAUGGUAGAGGGUGGUGGAAUUUCCUGUGUAGCGGUGAAAUGCGUAGAUAUAGGAAGGAACACCAGUGGCGAAGGCGACCACCUGGACUGAUGCUGACACUGAGGUGCGAAAGCGUGGGGAGCAAACAGGAUUAGAUACCCCCGUAGUCCCUGUCUCUUAUAA